UAUUGGUCUGGCUUUCAAAAAGCAAAAACCUAGCCUGCAGAUGUUAGAUUUGAUUCAUUGUUUCUGUGGGAAUUUACAUUUUACUAUUUUUCAAAUUCUAUUUGGAUGCAGAUUUGCCGUAGUAAGGGAAAAUGCUACAUUUCUAUUUAGCUGUACUUUAACUAACGUUGGCAUCUUGCCAUGUUCUCCUUCCUUUUCUUUACUAAUUUUUUUUUUUUAAGAAAUAGCACAAACACUUCCUUGAACUUGAGGCUGACCUGGACUGUACUGAGUGCUCUUUCAAAGGCCAACUGAAAGGCAGCGUUUCUCAUGUAAGAGAAUCUCUCCAUCAGAGUUCAGAGGGAACCAGAAGGAACCAUAGAGUGAACUCAAUCCAAUUCCUACUGAUUUUGCAUAUGAAGCAAUAGACCUUCAAUAGCU
RNAcentral lists this long non-coding RNA (420 nucleotides) under Marmota monax (woodchuck). The record is from RNAcentral. Lineage: Eukaryota; Metazoa; Chordata; Mammalia; Rodentia; Sciuridae.